CUGGAGCUGGGGCUCAAGCAGGAACAAAACACCCCAGACCUAGGGUCUGCUGUGCCCAUCUGGGGGCAAAAGUGGUGUGUGUGUGUGUGUGUGUGUGUGUGUGUGUGUGUGUGUGUGUGUGUGUGUGUGUGUGUGUGUGUGUGUGUGUGUGUGUGUGUGUGUGUGUGUGU
Molecule: long non-coding RNA, 170 nt
Organism: Gadus morhua (Atlantic cod)
Lineage: Eukaryota; Metazoa; Chordata; Actinopteri; Gadiformes; Gadidae
Exons: 2
Source: RefSeq, a predicted model, not a curated record